UACGUAGGGUGCAAGCGUUAAUCGGAAUUACUGGGCGUAAAGCGUGCGCAGGCGGUUAUGUAAGACAGAUGUGAAAUCCCCGGGCUCAACCUGGGGAACUGCAUUUGUGACUGCAUAGCUAGAGUACGGGUAGAGGGGGAUGGAAUUCCGCGUGUAGCAGUGAAAUGCGUAGAUAUGCGGAGGAACACCGAUGGCGAAGGCAAUCCCCCUGGACCUGUACUGAC
This 224-nucleotide ribosomal RNA is filed under the name uncultured bacterium. RNAcentral's name for it is "partial 16S ribosomal RNA". It matches the Rfam family "Bacterial small subunit ribosomal RNA", at positions 524 to 744 of the family's 1533-position model. The record is from RNAcentral.